CCCAGAGCGCCGAAGCACCAGCGCCGCGCCAGCCCGCAGACCACUUGGGCCAUUGUGGUCAUGGGACGUGGGCAGGGCUUGGGAGCCGGGCCCCAAGUGAAGGCCCGACAACAGGUCCGGGCCGGAAAGUGAGAGAUCAAGAAAUUGAAGCACAGAGAGCCUGAAAGCUUGCCCAAGUCCCCCGGCUAGUAAGUGGCUGAUCGAGCUGGAAGCUCCAACUCUCAACCACGGCGUUCUCUCACUGAUUCCUCUGCUGGUGGUCAGAGAGCCAGGGACAUGGAUAAUGGUGAACACAUACCCACAGAGUUUCAGGAAGAUGGAGCAUGAGCGCGUGGCCUUGGCCCUAGCCCCAGGCGGUCCCUGGGAUGCAGCCUGUCGAGUGGGGGUCCUUGGCGUCGCACAGAAAAGAAUUCAAGAGCGAGCCAUAGCUGAGUGAAGGAAGAGGCUCGAGGUGAUCACUGAUCCUCGCACACGUUUAUUUACCCUGUGAAGGAAAAGCCACGCUGGUCUAACAAGGAUUAUCUCUAGAGACAGACACACAGUAUAGAUAAUUGGGUAGGAAGAUCCAAGCACGUCUGGUCAGAUCAGAGCCCCAUUGGGCCUUUUGACUCGAAUGCUAGGCUUCCACCAUGAACCGAUUGGCUGUUCAUACCAGGUAACAGUGGCCCACGUGCCCAGUGUUGCUGUGAGUCGUUCCUUCUAAAAUGCUUACCUACUCUGUGUUCAGUCGGUUCUCUGUUCAUCGUACGCACGUAUUGAAGGAUGUUAAAUCACGUGGUGAUAGAAGUCUAAGAGCGCGCUCAGUCCUUCUGUAGGUGGGAAGGUUAGAGCCAGAGGCGGGGAGGGGCUGGUCUGAGGACACGGCUGCCAUGACUGGAGCCAGAGCAGGACCUCGUUCAAGUACACUGAUCACUCAGCCAGUGACUUUCCUCAAUUAAAUAAGAAAUAGGAGUGCUGCUCUGCAUGAACGUGUGUGUGUGUGUGUGUGUGUGUGUGUGUGUGUGUGUGUGUGGACGGGCUGGGGAAGCAGGGAGAGGGAGGAGACAUGUAGAAAUUAGUCAAACAGUCUUUGUUAUUUUUUUAGUACAUUUAAAAAAAAAUUGAAGUGUAGUCAGUUUACGGUAUUGUAUCAAUUUCUGGUGCCCAGCAUCAUGUUUCAGUCAUACGUAUACAUACAUGUAUUUGUUUUCAUAUUUUUUUCAUUAUAGGUUAUUACAAGAUAUGGAAUAUAGUUAGUUCCCUGUGGUCUACAGUAUAAACUUGCUGUUUAUCUAUUAUGUAUGUAUAUAUUAGUAUCUGCAAACCUCCAAUCCCCAAUUUAUCCCAUCCUUCCCCCUCACCGCCCCCGGUAACCAUAAGUUUGUUUUCUGUGUCUGUGAGUCUGUUUCUGUUUUGUAAAUAAGUUCAUUUGUCUUUUUUACAAUUUUAAUUCCACAUAUAAGUGAUCUCAUAUUGUAUUUUUCUUUCUCUUUCUGGCUUACAUCACUUAGAAUGACCAUCUCCAGGUCCAUCCAUGUUGCUACAAAUGGCAUUAAAACAGUCUUUGAAAUAUGAACUAGCGGAGUGAGACAGCAUCAUCGCCGUGGGUUUGGUUGAUGGUCUAGACACCUGAUUUCAAAAUGAAACACACAAAAGAAAAACUCUGCACGUGUUCUUCAAAACCCUUGAUAGUGAGGCCUAACCUCAUAGUCAUCACAUUCCAUUUCUGUGUGAAAAUGUGUACUCAGAGCUGUGAAGGAAUAAAAAAGUACACGUUUAUAGCCCCUGAGCUCUCAGUAGGUGCUCUGGACCAAAUGUCUGUGCCUCCCCAGACUCCUGUGUUGAAACCUGACCCCCGAUGCAGUGGUCUUUGGAGGUUGGGCCUUCAGGGGGUGAUUAGGUCGAGGAUGCAGCCCUCGUGAAAGCUACAACAGGCCAAGACCAGG
Long non-coding RNA from Camelus dromedarius (Arabian camel), 1925 nucleotides. RefSeq lists it as uncharacterized. The transcript is spliced from 5 exons. The record is from RefSeq and is a predicted model, not a curated record. NCBI's taxonomy places the organism in Eukaryota, Metazoa, Chordata, Mammalia, Artiodactyla, Camelidae.